Molecule: long non-coding RNA, 2914 nt
Filed under: Callithrix jacchus (white-tufted-ear marmoset)
Lineage: Eukaryota; Metazoa; Chordata; Mammalia; Primates; Cebidae
Description: lncRNA (ENSCJAG00000070024.1)
Source: RNAcentral
AGAAAAGAUACACUUACAGUGUCGUCUAUAGUUUAAAUAAUUACCUUUUUAAUUGGUGUUCUUUGUUCACUUACAUGGUUCCUAAUUAUGAGGUUACUUUUGCUUUUGGCCUGAAGAACGUUUUUAGUAUUUUCUGUAAGGUAGGAGUGCUGGCUACAAAUUCUCUCAGCUUUUUCUUUUCUGAGAAAGUCUCUAUUUGCUUUUAUUUUUGAGAGAGUGUUUUGCUGGCUAUAGGAGUCUAAGAGUCUUUGUUUCAUUUGCUCCCUUUGAGCACUAUGAAUCUGUUAUUCCACUGCCUUCUGUCCAUUGUUUCUGUUGAGAAAUUCACUGAAUACCGCACUGGGUUGAUCUGUAAGUGGACACAUUAUCUUCCGCUUCAUUUGAAGAUUUUUCUCCUUGUGUUUGAUUUUCAGCGUUUUAAUAUGAUGUGUGUGUUUGUGGAUUUUUUUGUUUAUAUCGCUUGGAGUUCAUUGAGCUUCAUGGAUGUGUUUCUUUGAAAACUUUGAAAAGAAAAUAUGGUUCAGAAAAGAUAUAUGUCAUAUUUUCAUUCUGACCACCCUCCACACUUCAACUGGAUAUCCACAGAGCCUCCCCCUCAAGCUGCCAGUGAAGUGAAUGCAGUCACCGUUAUCAGCAAUGCUUUGUACAAGCAACUCACAAACCCUGCUAUGAUGGAUUUACUGCAGUAGAGUCUGUUGUAGACAAGGAGACCAAGUGGAGUUCAGAGAUUGAUAGAAAGAUCAUUUCUCUUCAUCUUAAAUAAACAACAAGAAAUCCUUCUAUAAAUCUGUGUCAUUAUGAUACUUUUAUUUAAACAACCUUUUUGACCCUCACUGACAGAAAGCACUGAAGAUCAACUGCAAUGCUGCAUAAGGCAGAAAUCCAUAUCACUUUGGUACUGUGUAAAUGAGCAUAUUUACAGUAUGUCAUCUCAAGAACCUGAAUUUUCACAGCCUCUUAAGUUCAAAUAUACUUUAUUUGUCAUAUAUCAUUUAACUUUGUUUUUCUUUAUUUCAAUUUUUUACCACAUUAAUAUUUUGUUUUACCUAUCAGCUUCCCUCAGUCUCAAUUAAACAUCCCUAUGUCCUAAUACUCUGCUAAAAACCUUUAGGAUGCAUGGUUGAUUCAAUUCGAUGUUUGCCUUUGUACUGCACCAGACUUUAUCUUCCUACAGGAAAAUAUCUCCCAAUAAUCAUGUGCUUCAUGGACAGUCAGCAUUUGUUGAACAACUAUAUACAAACUCACUUCACAAAUCUUUCAUACCUAUGUUAAUUCUACAUGUCCGGAUUAUUUUUUAUUUUACUCUAAGCUGAUGCUAGAAGUACACUUUCUUAAAACCACUUCCAUUUGUUUCUAUUUCCUUAAUUUCUUUAAAUUCAGACACUGUUUCUUACCUCUAGAAGGGGAAUAAUGGAGGAAUGAUUGUACUGAUGUAAUUUUGAAGAUUGAACUCAGGAAUCACAUUUUGAUUAGCAGGUGGCACGCUGAUGUUUGAGAAGGAAAUGAAAAGUGGAUUCAUAUGCAAAUGCGAUAUUGUGCAUCUGCAGUGAGCUUAAUGAGUGGUGAUAUUGAUUUAAUUUGGUUAAUAAAUAUUAGAUAAAUAUAACUCUUAAUUAAAAUAGUACAUCUCAAGGGAAAAAGUUGUAUCUGAACAGACAAAUUACCAAAGGUUGAAGGCUUUCUCUGACUGGAGUGUCACUCUUCCACCCUGAUGUUAAUUACGUUUGUAGCAUAUCAUUCAUGGAAAUAAUUUGGAUGUUCAGUAAGCAUGUGAUCCAGUCCAAAUAGUACUCUUUUUUUCUCAUGGCCUACUCCGAAAUCAUUUAUCAAAAAAUCGCUACAUAAAAUUCAUAGAUUAUUGCAAAUGAAAGGAAACUUGCAGUGCAUAUUGUCUGUAACUACUUAUUCAACAUUUAUCCAAUCUCUUCUUCAAUAUUUUGCAAAAUGGAUUAUAUCAUCUUGGCUUAAACUCAAGCAGAUACGAGGAGCUAAUAUCCUCAGGACAUAGGAUCUCAUGGUUGGGCAACUCAAAUGUUUCUGAAUUGCUUACAAGGAGCUCAGCCUUGUCUUUUUUUUUUUUUUUUUUUUUUUUUCUUUAGGGAUGCUAUUCUAUUCCCUAGAGUCUAUGGCAACAUCUGUUAAAAGAUGUUUUAACACAUAAUAGCUAUUCUCAUACAUAGUCCUGGUCAUUAUGUGUUCAUGAGGUGUCUUUUUCAUAGCUAAGCAGUAUUUUCCAUAAUAUAGCUUCUUUAGACACCCUAUAUUUAACUCAAAGUUAUCUUUAAGAGUUCAAGUUUAGAAGUAACCACAAUAUUCAAGAUAGGUCUAACAUAUGCAUAAUUCAAUAGCAAUGUUGUAUGAAAAUAUUCAUACAAAUAAAAUUUGUUUUCUCACUGUCUGAAUAGAGAAACAUCAUCUGAAUUUUAAACAAAUUAAUCCCUUAUUAAAUUUUCUAUACUUUUUAUCUUUAUUAUGGCCAAAACCUCUCUACAUGAUUCUUGUAGAAAAUGUAAAUGACACACACAUGUCACAGGACUUUUUUUUAUCCAGUGGCUUUCAAAUGUCAUUCCCAAUUCUUCAUAGAUUUUUGCCAUUAUAAUGACGGGUUGAAAAGUGGGAGGAAAAAAUCUGAUUUCUUCACAUUGGGAGGAUCUCUCCAAAUUCUCUUACAAAAUAAAACUUUGACAUAGUUUUGACUAAAUUUCUUUUUCAAUUAAGGCCACGUAUUUUUAAAAAUAUUAUUACACUUUAAGUUCUGGGGUACAUGUGCAGAUUGUGCAGGAUUGUUAAUAGGUAUACAAAUGCCAUGGUGGUUUGCUGCAUCCAUCCAUCAUCUACAUUAGGUAUUUUUCCUAAUGUUAUACCACCCCAAUCCGCCCACCUCCUGCUACCCUUCCUCUAGCCCCUUCAUCCU